GUGUUGUAGGGGUGAUCUUACUCAUGGUUACAAAAGCCUAAAGCUCCAAAAACACAUGUGGCAUUUAACCAACUUCUGACCUUGGCUGAAGGUGAAGUUCUGAUUUAGUGUUAACAGCCACUUGCCUACAGGGAGACUGUUUCCCAUUAGCAGGUGUUGUUUUGUUCAUUAUGCUCAUUAAACUUGGUAUUUCCUAAAAGAGUGAUGACUGAAACCAGCUGUCAGGUUGUCAGGUAUUUAUUCAUCAGUUCAAAAUGCUGAACACAGCAUCAACAAUCUAAUUGCCUGUAGUAUCAGAGCUGUUUCAACCAGCUCAACCAGUGUAUCAGUUCAUUUGGGUUGAUUAUUGCAAAAAAAAAAAGCCACUGUGGUAGAUGAUUUUGUUAAUACUACUGAGACAGUUGUGCUCCUCAGCAGUUAAAAAGAGUGGAGGAAAGAGAACAUAAAAUAUCCUCUGCACUGCUGUGAUCUGGAGGCAAGUGUACACCCUUAUUUUAGUGUUGUGUGUAAGGGAAAAAAAGGAAAAAGCUGUUGUGCCAAAAUGUUUCCAGGGAUAUUUUCUCCAAACACCACACUAAUUGUAAUUAACUGUAAUGUCAUUUACUUUUCUAACUUGCCUUUGAAAAUACUAAGCACUGUGAUACAACUAACUCACACACAUAUAGCACAGAUAAGAGGUAAUUCCUGCUUGAAGAAACACCUGACAGAAACUCACUGCCUGAGACAGGCCUUGAUGGAUCCUAUUUUACAAAAAAAAUGGUGUCACUGUUCACCUGCAGCGUGCGUUCCCCUCGCUGAAGGAGCUGUGUCUGUGUCACUCCAGCCGAGCGAAGAAAAAUUCCAAGGCUGCUCUGUUGCUACAGCUCUGCAAUACCACAUUCAGAGGAGCAAGGAAAUCAUGUUUUCUUGGAGACCAAGCAGUUUUGCAAUUCAGGCUCUAAGCUAUGCCAUGAACAGAGAGGCUGGGACAGUGUUGGAGACGUACAGGAGUCUGUGUGUGUACUGAAGAGAGUCCCAGCCACAAAGCAGAGGAUGGAGAACCAUUGCUUUCCGAGCACCAGCACACAGAAACAAUAAAAACUGAACAGCCUUCAGCAGAGGACUCCACAGGAGAAGCAAGACUCCACCUCUGCCACCAAACCCGUGGCAGACAUCAGCAAGUUUGCCACGUGCACACCACACUGUCCCACUUACCGUGAGGGCGCCAUGGGCUGGUCUCGGUGCGCCCAGAGAGGCCUCCCAGCCCCGUGAUAAAUAAAUGUCCAUCAGCCGGAGCACAGGGCUGGUCACUGACCUUCAUCCCCUCGGUUUGCCCCAAGCAGAGGGCUCGGGGGGUUUAACAGAGGCGCUUUGAUCUCCUUCCCCACGGAGGGCUCCAUGGAUCUGCCACAGGCCCAGGAGCUCGGGCCAGCACACGGGCUGUGGGGAGCUAAUCACACUCACAGCUUCAGAGCUCCAGCGUGCAUAAAUCACUGAAAUGUGGCCUUAAAAGCUGUGUCUCCCGAAAAGGGCAAACCUCUCAAAAAAAAUAAAUAAUGACCCUUCAAUUUUUUCAGAAAGUACCCAGUAAAACAAAAAAGAUGGUCCCUAUAUAAAAUGGGCCCUCCCCAUUUUGCAGCAAGAAUCAUAAAUCCAAUAUUCCCCAGCCACUGCAAAUUAGAGAUUUCUAUUAGAUUGUGUAGCUUGGCCAGUCUCUGCACAUAGGAACUGGAGAAGAACAGCAAGUCAAAAUGAGUAGUACUGUGCACAAUAGGCUUGAAAAAACAUUCAAGUACCAACAGCUAUAAGAAUUUCUUUCCUUACAGUUCUUACAAGGAGCUUUAAUUCAUCCUUUUCUGCAGCUCCUGCCUUCAUAUUGUUGUGGCAGAAAGCUGUUGGGGAUUUUAAUUUUCAUCUCUAUACGUGAUAAAUCCAAAUAUAAAAAUGGUUUGACUUCCUUGGAAAUGUUCUGGACAUAGCCAGCUUGUGCAAGAAUUGAAAAAUCACCAAUCUUUUCCAAAUGAUAGCAUCUCUUUCCUAUUUGUUUUUUGGGGGAUUUUUUUUUUAAUUUUUUUUUUUUUUUUCCAUCUAGAAUGAAGUGUGUUCAAAUUUGUGAAAAAUCAGUCUCCAAACAGUAACUCUGCAAUUGGUAUGGGGGUUUGGGGAUUGGUUUUUGGUUUGUUUUUCUUCUGGGCUUCUUGUUGUUGGCUUGAUUUUUGUUUACAUUUUUUAAUUGGGGAAGAGCUGGGAGAGUGACUAGGUUUUACUUGGCAGAUUUUCUUCAUUCUAACCAGUCAUGUCAGAACUACAUUUCCUCCACCCCCUCCAAUAUUCCUAGGCAGUCAGCCAGAGGAAUAGACUCCAAAGCUACUCAAAGAAAAAAUGUCUCAGUCUCAUAUGCCUUAAGAUACCUUUACAUUUCUGUAGUACUAUAGAUGCUUCUUAAAUAAAGCCCACCCAAAGCAGCACUGAAUUCAGUAAUCCUGGCAACGUCCGUGUGUUUACUGGUUUAUCUGGGUCCCCUAGAAAGGGCUGAAGGAAAAGAAACAAGAAGCCAGGAGAGCUGUAGGAGAAUUCUUUCCACCUUCUUCAUUGAUACCCUUCAUGCCAUUCAAAUAGACUCCGGAAUACACUACUUUAAUUAGCAAAGCUUGUUUUAAAGUAAACAACACAAACACUCCUUAUAGGACAGUCACAGUCUCCCCUGCUAGAUAUACAGGCUUUUUGGCAAGAUCACAUUCAAACAGCAUGAAAUUCACCCAUGGGCACGGUCCCGAGAAGGCCCUUGCACCUCUUUAACUUCCAUUUAGCUGCUCUGGAUAGGAGCGAGUGGUUUGUGGGAUAAGGACAGCUUUCCUCCAAAAAAAAAGAUGGUCCAAAUCCACAUCUGUAAAGAUCAUCAGUUUUACCACUAUAAGGUCAUAAAGGUGUGAUAUAGGCGUCAUGCAUAGAGUACAUACCAUAAUUUGUUUGAGUCCUGUCCCCAAGUGACUUUGAGUCCCCGUGAAAGUACAAAGCACAACGCGCCCGCAAUGGAACCCGUGGUGGCUAUCUCUGCUGCGUUGUGCUCUUUCCUGGGAACACUGCAAAGUCAUUCAACAGACAGGAGUCAGGACAGCAGUGAGAAGAGUAUCCUCAUGAGGAAGCUCUGACAGGAUUCCUUUUGGUACAAAUGGGAGAACAUGAGAGUCCCGUCUUCGGUCAGUAAUUGCUAAACAAACAGAAAUUGGAAAUCAUUGAUGCGACAUUGACCCAUAAAACACUGAUCACUGAGGCCCUGUUCUCCCCUGUGCCACACACAGGGAACAACAGAUGCUCCAAGUAAACAGGGUAAGAACAAAACAGUAUGGAAAUAAUGUGGUUCCUUAACAAAUGUCUUACUGUAGUCCAUUUAUGCUGACUGACACCGGUUGUUCUUUUCAGUUAUAACUGUGCAACAAAAUCAGACAUGUCUCAUCUUCCAGUCUUGAUACUGAGCUGUUGCUGAUUUUCUUUUGUUGGUCAAGUUAUUUAAUUUUUCUCUUAUUUUUCUUUUUUUUCCUUUUUCUUUUUUUUUGGUUUUUUUUUGCUUUUUUUUUGUUUACAUCUACGUUUAUCAACACUGAUACAUUACAGAUCUUGUUAGUUAUACUUUGAAGUCUGAUCAUGCAGAACUACAGGCAGGUGCAACUUAGAUCUUAUUACAGGAUGGACAUGGCAAGGUGAACAGUUGUUUUUGCUAGUUAAGAUCUGGAGCUUUGUUACUGUUGUGGCUUAAUGUAUACUGGCCAUAAGUCCCACUUACCCAAUUUACUAAAUAUACAUGAUUCUAUAUGUACACUGAAACUUCCAGCACCCUCCUUUAUCACCACUUGACUGACUCAGGAGAAGGUCAGAGGUCAACCAUAUUUAGGCAAACAGCAGCCUUAUUGUAAAAGUUUUUAACAGAAAGAGCGCGUCAGAUUAUUACAUAUUACUUACAGAGGAAGGAAAAAAAAAUAAGUCCAUACAACUAUUUACAUUAUAAAUAUCUUGCUUUUCAGAAGACAAGAAUGGCCCUGUUCAGUGAAAAUUAGCAAAAGAGACCUGUCUGAAAUGAAAAGCAUGGUAAGGAUACAUUUAUUUCCCAAAUUGACUGUGUCUUCCUUCAAUAUGUGCUUUUCAGCUUUUCCCACUCAGGUAAAAAGGCACCAUUAGCCUCAGCUGAAGUUUUUCAACAUUCUUUUGUCAAAUCAAACGCUCUUUAAAACUCAAACUUGCCAUAGGCCAACGAGCCUGAACAUGCAUUAAGUUAAACAUUUCACUUCUUGCAAUCAA
This is a long non-coding RNA of Passer domesticus (house sparrow), 4275 nucleotides long. RefSeq lists it as uncharacterized. The transcript is spliced from 3 exons. The record is from RefSeq and is a predicted model, not a curated record. Lineage: Eukaryota; Metazoa; Chordata; Aves; Passeriformes; Passeridae.